UGGGGAAUAUUGGGCAAUGGGCGCAAGCCUGACCCAGCAACGCCGCGUGAAGGAUGAAGGCUUUCGGGUUGUAAACUUCUUUUAUCAGGGACGAAGAAAAUGACGGUACCUGAUGAAUAAGCCACGGCUAACUACGUG
This 138-nucleotide ribosomal RNA is filed under the name uncultured Bacteroides sp. RNAcentral's name for it is "partial 16S ribosomal RNA". It matches the Rfam family "Bacterial small subunit ribosomal RNA", at positions 355 to 507 of the family's 1533-position model. RNAcentral also lists the same sequence under 1 other name. The record is from RNAcentral. Lineage: Bacteria; Pseudomonadati; Bacteroidota; Bacteroidia; Bacteroidales; Bacteroidaceae.